CGCGCAGGGUUAGGACCAUUUGAACUCUUGACCUCAAAUCAGGUAGGACUACCCGCUGAACUUAAGCAUAUCAAUAAGCGGAGGAAAAGAAACUAACAAGGAUUCCCCUAGUAACUGCGAGUGAAGCGGGAAAAGCUCAAAUUUUGAAUCUGGCGGUCUUUGCAGGCCGUCCGAGUUGUAAUCUAGAGAAGCGUCUUCCGCGCCGGCCUGUGUACAAGUCUCCUGGAAGGGAGCGUCAUAGAGGGUGAGAAUCCCGUCUCUGACACGGACCACCGGUGCUAUGUGAUGCGCUCUCGACGAGUCGAGUUGUUUGGGAAUGCAGCUCAAAAAGGGUGGUAAACUCCAUCUAAAGCUAAAUAUUGGCGAGAGACCGAUAGCGAACAAGUACCGUGAGGGAAAGAUGAAAAGGACUCUGGAAAGAGAGUUAAACAGUACGUGAAAUUGCUGAAAGGGAAACGCUCGAUGUCAGUCGCGUCGGCUGGGGGUCAACCUUGCGGUUUCGCUGGGUGUAUUUCCUGGUUGACGGGUCAGCAUCAGUUUCGGUCGUCGUACAAGGGCCAAGGGAAAGUGGCACCCUUCCGGGGGUGUGUUAUAGCCUUUCGGUCGUAUGUGGCGGCUCGGGACUGAGGAGACUCGGUGUGGGCUUCGGCUUACACUAGAGAUGCUGGCAUAAUGGCCUUGAGCGACCCGUCU
This 693-nucleotide ribosomal RNA is filed under the name Boletus edulis var. grandedulis. Its description in RNAcentral is "eukaryotic LSU rRNA". It matches the Rfam family "Eukaryotic large subunit ribosomal RNA", at positions 1 to 654 of the family's 3401-position model. The record is from RNAcentral. Lineage: Eukaryota; Fungi; Basidiomycota; Agaricomycetes; Boletales; Boletaceae.